GGGGUUGUGGCUCAGUGGUAGAGUGCUUGCCUAGCAUGCGUGAGACAGUGGGUUUGAUCCCCAGCACCA
This 69-nucleotide transfer RNA is filed under the name Ictidomys tridecemlineatus (thirteen-lined ground squirrel). RNAcentral's name for it is "Spermophilus tridecemlineatus (thirteen-lined ground squirrel) tRNA". It matches the Rfam family "tRNA". Rfam says of the family: Transfer RNA (tRNA) molecules are approximately 80 nucleotides in length. The record is from Rfam by way of RNAcentral. Lineage: Eukaryota; Metazoa; Chordata; Mammalia; Rodentia; Sciuridae.